AGAACGAACGCUGGCGGCAUGCCUAAUACAUGCAAGUCGAACGAAGGCUUCGGCCUUAGUGGCGCACGGGUGCGUAACGCGUGGGAAUCUGCCCCUUGGUUCGGAAUAACAGUUGGAAACGACUGCUAAUACCGGAUGAUGACGAAAGUCCAAAGAUUUAUCGCCAAGGGAUGAGCCCGCGUAGGAUUAGCUAGUUGGUGAGGUAAAGGCUCACCAAGGCGGCGAUCCUUAGCUGGUCUGAGAGGAUGAUCAGCCACGACUGGAACUGAGACACGGUCCAGACCUCCUACGGGAGGCGAGCAGGUGGGGAAUAGUUAGGACAAUGGGCGAAAGCCUGAUCCAGCCAUGCCGCGUGUGUGAGGAAGGUCUUGGAUUGUAAAGCUACGUUUAAGGU
RNAcentral lists this ribosomal RNA (394 nucleotides) under uncultured soil bacterium. Its description in RNAcentral is "bacterial SSU rRNA". It matches the Rfam family "Bacterial small subunit ribosomal RNA", at positions 26 to 443 of the family's 1533-position model. The record is from RNAcentral.